AUGAAAAUGAUCAUCUGGAACUGUAGAGGGCUGGGUCGGCCUCGUACAGCUCAAGAAUUAGUGUUCAUCAAUAAGUCUUACCGACCCAACAUUAUUUUCCUUUUAGAAACUAGAAAGAAUAAAGAUUAUGUUGAGAGUUUGCGGUAUCGUUUGGGUAUGAAAAAUGUAUUUAUUGUUUCGGGUAAAGGCAAAGGUGGUAGUUUAGCGAUAUUUUGGGAUAAGUGUUUCUCUGUGGAAAUAAAUAAAUUUGGUGACCAUUUUAUUGAUUUGUACAUAUGUAAGGGUGAUGGACCAAGAUGGAGAUGCACAUGUGUGUAUGGGAAACCAAAGGCGAGCCAAAGGUACGUCAUGUGGGAGCUUUUGAGACGAGUUAAAUGUCUUGGUUCUGGCCCAUGGUUCAUGGUCGGCGAUUUUAAUGAAGCUAUGUGGCAAAAUGAGCAUUUUUCUCGUAAUAAAAGAUCGUCUAAACUCAUGGAUAAUUUUCGGGAGGUUCUCUCUGAUUGCAAUUUAUUUGAUCUGGAUUUUCACGGAGUACCUUGGACGUAUGAUAACAAGCAGGAAGGUUGUCGAAAUGUCAAAGCGCGUCUUGAUCGGGCAGUGGCGUGCCCUCAAUGGUCUGCUAUGUUUCCCCAGUGCAAGGUUCAAAAUGUCAUUUCUUCCAGGUCAGAUCAUUGACCUUUGUUUAUUCAGUUGUUGGGUAGUCGGCCUAAC
This 711-nucleotide ribosomal RNA is filed under the name Triticum aestivum (bread wheat). Its description in RNAcentral is "partial small subunit ribosomal RNA". The record is from RNAcentral. Lineage: Eukaryota; Viridiplantae; Streptophyta; Magnoliopsida; Poales; Poaceae.